RNAcentral lists this ribosomal RNA (497 nucleotides) under uncultured bacterium. RNAcentral describes it as "partial 16S ribosomal RNA". It matches the Rfam family "Bacterial small subunit ribosomal RNA", at positions 28 to 507 of the family's 1533-position model. The record is from RNAcentral.
GAUGAACGCUGGCGGCGUGCCUAAUACAUGCAAGUCGAGCGAACGGACGAGAAGCUUGCUUCUCUGAUGUUAGCGGCGGACGGGUGAGUAACACGUGGAUAACCUACCUAUAAGACUGGGAUAACUUCGGGAAACCGGAGCUAAUACCGGAUAAUAUUUUGAACCGCAUGGUUCAAAAGUGAAAGACGGUCUUGCUGUCACUUAUAGAUGGAUCCGCGCUGCAUUAGCUAGUUGGUAAGGUAACGGCUUACCAAGGCAACGAUGCAUAGCCGACCUGAGAGGGUGAUCGGCCACACUGGAACUGAGACACGGUCCAGACUCCUACGGGAGGCAGCAGUAGGGAAUCUUCCGCAAAGGGCGAAAGCCUGACGGAGCAACGCCGCGUGAGUGAUGAGGGUCUUCGGAUCGUAAAACUCUGUUAUUAGGGAAGAACAUAUGUGUAAGUAACUGUGCACAUCUUGACGGUACCUAAUCAGAAAGCCACGGCUAACUACGUG